Molecule: transfer RNA, 99 nt
Filed under: Moelleriella libera RCEF 2490
Lineage: Eukaryota; Fungi; Ascomycota; Sordariomycetes; Hypocreales; Clavicipitaceae
Description: Aschersonia aleyrodis RCEF 2490 tRNA
Rfam family: tRNA
About the family: Transfer RNA (tRNA) molecules are approximately 80 nucleotides in length.
Source: Rfam by way of RNAcentral
GGCAGAGUGCCCGAGUGGUUAAGGGGAUUGACUUGAAUGUGGUGCCCCACAUGUUAUCAAUUACGUUCGCGUGCGCAGGUUCGAACCCUGUCUCUGUCG